Molecule: ribosomal RNA, 253 nt
Filed under: uncultured bacterium
Lineage: Bacteria
Description: partial 16S ribosomal RNA
Rfam family: Bacterial small subunit ribosomal RNA
Source: RNAcentral
UACGUAGGGGGCGAGCGUUAAUCGGAAUUACUGGGCGUAAAGUGCGCGCAGGCGGCUGAGCAAGUCGAGUGUGAAAGCCCCGGGCUUAACUUGGGAAUUGCGCUCGAAACUACUUUGCUGGAGUGUGGCAGAGGAAGGUGGAAUUCCACGUGUAGCGGUGAAAUGCGUAGAGAUGUGGAGGAACACCAAUGGCGAAGGCAGCCUUCUGGGCCAACACUGACGCUCAUGCACGAAAGCGUGGGGAGCAAACAGG